RNAcentral lists this ribosomal RNA (568 nucleotides) under uncultured bacterium. RNAcentral's name for it is "partial 16S ribosomal RNA". It matches the Rfam family "Bacterial small subunit ribosomal RNA", at positions 355 to 914 of the family's 1533-position model. The record is from RNAcentral.
UGGGGAAUUUUGGACAAUGGGGGAAACCCUGAUCCAGCCAUCCCGCGUGUGCGAUGAAGGCCUUCGGGUUGUAAAGCACUUUUGGCAGGAAAGAAACGUCGCGGGUUAAUACCCCGCGAAACUGACGGUACCUGCAGAAUAAGCACCGGCUAACUACGUGCCAGCAGCCGCGGUAAUACGUAGGGUGCAAGCGUUAAUCGGAAUUACUGGGCGUAAAGCGUGCGUAGGCGGUUCGGAAAGAAAGAUGUGAAAUCCCAGAGCUUAACUUUGGAACUGCAUUUUUAACUACCGGGCUAGAGUGUGUCAGAGGGAGGUGGAAUUCCGCGUGUAGCAGUGAAAUGCGUAGAUAUGCGGAGGAACACCGAUGGCGAAGGCAGCCUCCUGGGAUAACACUGACGCUCAUGCACGAAAGCGUGGGGAGCAAACAGGAUUAGAUACCCUGGUAGUCCACGCCCUAAACGAUGUCAACUAGCUGUUGGGGGCCUUCGGGCCUUGGUAGCGCAGCUAACGCGUGAAGUUGACCGCCUGGGGAGUACGGUCGCAAGAUUAAAAACUCAAAUGAAUUGAC